CAGCGCCACGAGUGGGAACCACGAUUAUUGGGCCUAAAGCGUCCGUAGCUGGUUUGAUAAGUCUUUUGUGAAAUCGUUGCGCUUAACGUAACGACGUGCAAAAGAGACUGUCAGACUUGGAACCGGGAGGAGUCAGAGGUAUUCCAUGGGGAGCGGUAAAAUGCUAUAAUCCAUGGAGGACCACCUGUGGCGAAGGCGUCUGACCAGAACGGAUUCGACAGUGAGGGACGAAAGCUGAGGGAGCAAUCCGGAUUAGAUACCCGAGUAGUCC
This 271-nucleotide ribosomal RNA is filed under the name uncultured archaeon. RNAcentral's name for it is "partial 16S ribosomal RNA". It matches the Rfam family "Archaeal small subunit ribosomal RNA", at positions 477 to 747 of the family's 1478-position model. The record is from RNAcentral.